RNAcentral lists this ribosomal RNA (1550 nucleotides) under Lactobacillus helveticus. Its description in RNAcentral is "bacterial SSU rRNA". It matches the Rfam family "Bacterial small subunit ribosomal RNA". The record is from RNAcentral. Lineage: Bacteria; Bacillati; Bacillota; Bacilli; Lactobacillales; Lactobacillaceae.
UGAUCCUGGCUCAGGACGAACGCUGGCGGCGUGCCUAAUACAUGCAAGUCGAGCGAGCAGAACCAGCAGAUUUACUUCGGUAAUGACGCUGGGGACGCGAGCGGCGGAUGGGUGAGUAACACGUGGGGAACCUGCCCCAUAGUCUAGGAUACCACUUGGAAACAGGUGCUAAUACCGGAUAAUAAAGCAGAUCGCAUGAUCAGCUUAUAAAAGGCGGCGUAAGCUGUCGCUAUGGGAUGGCCCCGCGGUGCAUUAGCUAGUUGGUAAGGUAACGGCUUACCAAGGCAAUGAUGCAUAGCCGAGUUGAGAGACUGAACGGCCACAUUGGGACUGAGACACGGCCCAAACUCCUACGGGAGGCAGCAGUAGGGAAUCUUCCACAAUGGACGCAAGUCUGAUGGAGCAACGCCGCGUGAGUGAAGAAGGUUUUCGGAUCGUAAAGCUCUGUUGUUGGUGAAGAAGGAUAGAGGUAGUAACUGGCCUUUAUUUGACGGUAAUCAACCAGAAAGUCACGGCUAACUACGUGCCAGCAGCCGCGGUAAUACGUAGGUGGCAAGCGUUGUCCGGAUUUAUUGGGCGUAAAGCGAGCGCAGGCGGAAGAAUAAGUCUGAUGUGAAAGCCCUCGGCUUAACCGAGGAAUUGCAUCGGAAACUGUUUUUCUUGAGUGCAGAAGAGGAGAGUGGAACUCCAUGUGUAGCGGUGGAAUGCGUAGAUAUAUGGAAGAACACCAGUGGCGAAGGCGGCUCUCUGGUCUGCAACUGACGCUGAGGCUCGAAAGCAUGGGUAGCGAACAGGAUUAGAUACCCUGGUAGUCCAUGCCGUAAACGAUGAGUGCUAAGUGUUGGGAGGUUUCCGCCUCUCAGUGCUGCAGCUAACGCAUUAAGCACUCCGCCUGGGGAGUACGACCGCAAGGUUGAAACUCAAAGGAAUUGACGGGGGCCCGCACAAGCGGUGGAGCAUGUGGUUUAAUUCGAAGCAACGCGAAGAACCUUACCAGGUCUUGACAUCUAGUGCCAUCCUAAGAGAUUAGGAGUUCCCUUCGGGGACGCUAAGACAGGUGGUGCAUGGCUGUCGUCAGCUCGUGUCGUGAGAUGUUGGGUUAAGUCCCGCAACGAGCGCAACCCUUAUUAUUAGUUGCCAGCAUUAAGUUGGGCACUCUAAUGAGACUGCCGGUGACAAACCGGAGGAAGGUGGGGAUGACGUCAAGUCAUCAUGCCCCUUAUGACCUGGGCUACACACGUGCUACAAUGGGCAGUACAACGAGAAGCGAGCCUGCGAAGGCAAGCGAAUCUCUGAAAGCUGUUCUCAGUUCGGACUGCAGUCUGCAACUCGACUGCACGAAGCUGGAAUCGCUAGUAAUCGCGGAUCAGAACGCCGCGGUGAAUACGUUCCCGGGCCUUGUACACACCGCCCGUCACACCAUGGAAGUCUGCAAUGCCCAAAGCCGGUGGCCUAACCUUCGGGAAGGAGCCGUCUAAGGCAGGGCAGAUGACUGGGGUGAAGUCGUAACAAGGUAGCCGUAGGAGAACCUGCGGCUGGAUCACCUCCUU